Molecule: ribosomal RNA, 492 nt
Filed under: uncultured bacterium
Lineage: Bacteria
Description: partial 16S ribosomal RNA
Rfam family: Bacterial small subunit ribosomal RNA
Source: RNAcentral
AGUGAACGCUGGCGGUAGGCCUAACACAUGCAAGUCGAACGGCAGCACAGUAAGAGCUUGCUCUUACGGGUGGCGAGUGGCGGACGGGUGAGGAAUACAUCGGAAUCUACUUUUUCGUGGGGGAUAACGUAGGGAAACUUACGCUAAUACCGCAUACGACCUACGGGUGAAAGCAGGGGAUCUUCGGACCUUGCGCGAUUGAAUGAGCCGAUGUCGGAUUAGCUAGUUGGCGGGGUAAAGGCCCACCAAGGCGACGAUCCGUAGCUGGUCUGAGAGGAUGAUCAGCGACACUGGAACUGAGACACGGUCCAGACUCCUACGGGAGGCAGCAGUGGGGAAUAUUGGACAAUGGGCGCAAGCCUGAUCCAGCCAUACCGCGUGGGUGAAGAAGGCCUUCGGGUUGUAAAGCCCUUUUGUUGGGAAAGAAAAGCGGCAGGUUAAUACCCCGCUGUUCUGACGGUACCCAAAGAAUAAGCACCGGCUAACUUCGUG